AAACCGCAUGGUUUUGAUUUGAAAGGCGCUUUCGGGUGUCGCUGAUGGAUGGACCCGCGGUGCAUUAGCUAGUUGGUGAGGUAACGGCUCACCAAGGCCACGAUGCAUAGCCGACCUGAGAGGGUGAUCGGCCACAUUGGGACUGAGACACGGCCCAAACUCCUACGGGAGGCAGCAGUAGGGAAUCUUCGGCAAUGGACGAAAGUCUGACCGAGCAACGCCGCGUGAGUGAAGAAGGUUUUCGGAUCGUAAAACUCUGUUGUUAGAGAAGAACAAGGAUGAGAGUAACUGUUCAUCCCUUGACGGUAUCUAACCAGAAAGCCACGGCUAACUACGUGCCAGCAGCCGCGGUAAUACGUAGGUGGCAAGCGUUGUCCGGAUUUAUUGGGCGUAAAGCGAGCGCAGGCGGUUUCUUAAGUCUGAUGUGAAAGCCCCCGGCUCAACCGGGGAGGGUCAUUGGAAACUGGGAGACUUGAGUGCAGAAGAGGAGAGUGGAAUUCCAUGUGUAGCGGUGAAAUGCGUAGAUAUAUGGAGGAACACCAGUGGCGAAGGCGGCUCUCUGGUCUGUAACUGACGCUGAGGCUCGAAAGCGUGGGGAGCAAACAGGAUUAGAUACCCUGGUAGUCCACGCCGUAAACGAUGAGUGCUAAGUGUUGGAGGGUUUCCGCCCUUCAGUGCUGCAGCUAACGCAUUAAGCACUCCGCCUGGGGAGUACGACCGCAAGGUUGAAACUCAAAGGAAUUGACGGGGGCCCGCACAAGCGGUGGAGCAUGUGGUUUAAUUCGAAGCAACGCGAAGAACCUUACCAGGUCUUGACAUCCUUUGACCACUCUAGAGAUAGAGCUUCCCCUUCGGGGGCAAAGUGACAGGUGGUGCAUGGUUGUCGUCAGCUCGUGUCGUGAGAUGUUGGGUUAAGUCCCGCAACGAGCGCAACCCUUAUUGUUAGUUGCCAUCAUUCAGUUGGGCACUCUAGCAAGACUGCCGGUGACAAACCGGAGGAAGGUGGGGAUGACGUCAAAUCAUCAUGCCCCUUAUGACCUGGGCUACACACGUGCU
RNAcentral lists this ribosomal RNA (1056 nucleotides) under Enterococcus faecium. Its description in RNAcentral is "bacterial SSU rRNA". It matches the Rfam family "Bacterial small subunit ribosomal RNA", at positions 183 to 1226 of the family's 1533-position model. Lineage: Bacteria; Bacillati; Bacillota; Bacilli; Lactobacillales; Enterococcaceae. The record is from RNAcentral. RNAcentral also lists the same sequence under 2 other names.